AUGAACAAGCGACCCCGCGACGAGCCCUCCUCCUCCCUCGCCUCCGCCCAAAAGCGCCAGUUCGGCGCAGGCGGUGGCGGCUAUGGGGGACAACAAGGGUACUCGGAGGAGCGGAACAGCGCGCGGCGGGUGGCGGACCACUACAGCGCCCGAUCGAAUCAGACGCUCGAGGAGCGCGAGAACAGCCCCAUCAUCCACCUCAAGAAGCUCAACAACUGGAUAAAGAGCGUCCUGGUCCAGCUGUAUGCGCGUCCGGGAGACUGCGUUCUAGAUCUUGCUUGUGGCAAGGGAGGAGAUUUGAUAAAGUGGGAUAAGGCCAGGGUUGGCUAUUAUGUAGGCGUUGAUAUUGCAGAAGGCUCGAUAAAAGAUUGUAUGACCCGUUAUAACGGUGAUGCUGAUCAACAGCGAAGGAAGAAGUUCAGCUUUCCUGCACGGCUUAUUUGUGCUGAUUGUUAUGAGACUCGUCUGGAUGAGUAUCUAUGUGAGGAUGCUCCAUUUGACAUAUGCAGCUGCCAGUUUGCAAUGCACUACUCAUGGUCAACUGAAGCACGUGCAAGACAAGCGCUUGCUAAUAUAUCUGCAUUGCUUCGUCCUGGAGGCACUUUCAUUGGAACGAUGCCUGAUGCUAAUGUCAUUAUUAAAAGGCUAAGAGAAACUGAAGGGAUGGAGUUUGGAAACAGUGUUUACUGGAUUACCUUUGGUGAAGAGUACAACGAAAAGAAAUUCCCCGCAUCCAGGCCUUUUGGUAUCAAGUACAAGUUCCAUUUAGAGGACGCAGUUGAUUGCCCGGAGUGGGUUGUUCCAUUCCAUCUCUUCAAACUACUGGCAGAGGAGUAUGAUUUAGAGCUGGUUCUAAUGAAGAACUUCCACGAAUUUGUACAUGAGUACUUGCAAAAGCCUGAGUUUGCUGAUCUCAUGCGAAGGCUGGGUGCUCUUGGUGAUGGACGGUCGGUCCAAAGCACACUAUCGCAAGAUGAGUGGGAAGUGUCCUAUCUCUACCUCGCAUUUGUUCUGCGUAAGCGAGGCCCUCCACCCUCCCAGCGGAGAGCCAACAAUGCUAACAGAGGGAAAACGUUCCUUGCUGAGGAGGACAUCGAGUUUCUUAGCAUAUAA
This 1113-nucleotide ribosomal RNA is filed under the name Triticum aestivum (bread wheat). Its description in RNAcentral is "partial small subunit ribosomal RNA". Lineage: Eukaryota; Viridiplantae; Streptophyta; Magnoliopsida; Poales; Poaceae. The record is from RNAcentral.